Molecule: long non-coding RNA, 3416 nt
Organism: Manis pentadactyla (Chinese pangolin)
Lineage: Eukaryota; Metazoa; Chordata; Mammalia; Pholidota; Manidae
Exons: 6
Source: RefSeq, a predicted model, not a curated record
CGUGAACUGCAGGCUCAACUUGCAUCCGGGGCCUUUUCCCGGCCUUGGCGGGGUGGUAAAUGGGGAGGCCUAGCAGCCGCCGCCGGUAUCUUUUGCUCUGGACCAGGUGGCGGGAUCUAGGGUUCUGUUGUCACCGCGCUAGGGAGCGGUCAGGCUGGGCGGCGGAGCCGGGCUCGGGGGUUGCAGUAGAUGAGACACCGCUGCUGGUUGCCAGACUUGGUGUAGAAGGUAAAGCACAGUGAAAUAAUUCAAGAUGGUCCCUAAUAUAAACUGGAAAGAAAUCAUGAAAGUUGACCCAGAUGACCUUUCUUGUCAAGAAGAAUUGGCAGAUAAUUUAUUCAUUUCCUUAUCUAAGGUGGAAGUAAAUGAGCUAAAAAAUGAAAGUCAAGAAAAUGUGAUACACGUUUUCAGAAUUACUCAGUCAGUAAUGAAGUUGUUUAGAUGAAAGCUCAAGAGGUAGAGCUAGCUUUAGAAGAAGUUGAAAAGGCUGGAGAAGAGCAAGCAAAAUUUGAAAACCAAUUAAAAACUAAAGUAAUGAAACUGGAAAAUGAACUAGAGAUGAGGAAACGGAGGCACAGAAAGCCUAAAGCACUGAACCUGAUUACUUUUAUUCUGAUGGCUCUCUUCUGCUCAAUAUGAGUGCUGUUUCAAAGACUCCAAGGACAUCAGACCCUUGCCCAGCAACUCACGGCUCUCCUGCGUUUAAGGGCACCAAGGCCAUUCUGAGAAUGCUCUUCUAAGACAUACAGCCAUGUGCUGGUGCAGCCAACAUGGAAGUGAACUCUCUCACUGUGGACAUUGACAAUAAAUCCUAUCAGAAGGACCCAACAGAAUACCCUAGAAGAGGGUACCUAGGCCUCAACAAUCAGAAAUCACUGGUUCAUUAGUGCUACAGUCCAGCUUGAACCAAAGAAAUGUUUAUUCUAAUGGGAAACACUUAGCAACAAAUUCAUCCAGCAAUUAUUUAUUGUCUUAUUAGGUGCUAGCACUGUACUAGACACAGAAAAGGAUAGGAAACAAAGCCACCUCCCGUUUCAAGAUUUGUACAAGUCAGAAGGAAUAACAACAGGUAGACUGGCUAAAGUUCACAAAACAAGAGAAUUAACUCAAAAUAUGUAUGCAGACAUUUAACCAGAAAAUUGCAGAACAUAGAAGAGAAAUGUGUUAGCUGAAGAGAAAUUAGGAUCUAGAAUCCAUGUGGGCUAGGGCAGUCAGGGAGAGAAGAAUUUAGGAGAUGAAUGGGAGAAAUUAUUGAGGCCACUAGGAGGAAUUUUGAGUCCUUUUAAAGAUUCCAGACAUUUCACUGGAAAAGGUAGCAUCUGGCUAUAUUACUGCCAGAGGCCAUUGUCCUCCUGUGAGGCUGAAAGGCCUUGCCAUCUGCUGGAUGAUACUAAUGCUAAUACAGGAGCCAUUUGCUUAUUAUGACUUCUGCCCAGGAGGGAUGGAUUUACCCACAAAUCUAAUAGCACCUGGAAUGGAGUAAGAUAUGUUCUUGGAAAUCUCCCAGGCUGAAGUCUGACUGCUCUUAAGAGCUCUUCAUGAGAUAGUAGGCAAGAGUUGCUUAGGGAUCAUUUAUCAAUAAUUGGUGUGUUGGGAGAAGUACAAAACUUCUUUGGCAGAAGGAGGUAAACUAGGAAGAAUCUGAGAACCCCAGGGCCCUAAUUACCCUUCCCUUUCAUCCACCCUGCUUUCCCAGACCUACAAAAGGCCUCUGGUCUUCAAUGGUGAAAGAGUCACUUCUGAAGGGAGGAGAGAAAAAGAGGGAAGCAUUCUGGUAAAGGCCCCACUCUUCUUUCUGAGUUAGAAUUUCUUCUCUAGAUCGUAUUAUAGAAGUGGGGACAAUGUUUCCAACGGGCUGUGUUAAAAUAUUUUCUGUGACAGAGAAUUGGAGGCUCCAGGAGCCCUUUUGCCGUCUCAUUGGCAAAGAUUAUUAUUUCCGUGACACUCUGGAAAGACCGGUGCAUCUGGGGUGAUAGGAAAGGGAGGGCCAGACGUGGUGGAGUGCCCCCUCAUGGUUCCAGCCAUUUGGAAUAACCAGAGCACACCUCUAUCUUUCUGAUGAAUCAAAACUUUUCUCCCAGUAAUAAUAUUGAUUCUUUGCUACUGAAAUUGCAAAUACUUUUAUCCCAUUUGCUACUAGCUUCUAGUUCUGCUUAUGACCGUUUUUACUUACCAACGGAUUUUCAAAUAGCCAGCUCUACCAGCCUUGGCCUCUAUAGUUUCUACCUUUGGGUUGUACAUAAAGAAGCCUUCAAUAUCCAAUAUUAUAAAUCUAUAUUUCUUCUAAUUCUUUAGCACUAAUCCAUUCUUCUUUUGGGGUAUGACAUAACAAUCUAGUUUUAUUUUGUUUUUCCACAUAAUUAACUGAUUUUGCCAGGAUGACCUGUGGUUUUAUCCAUUCCUUCAAAUACUUGAAAUGCAUCUUAAUCAUACACUAAAUAUUUUAUAUACUUGGGUGUGGUAGAUUGUAGAAUCCCAAUCCUGACAAAUAUUUAAGAGCCCCUCUUAUGGAACCCCUCUGCAGGAGAACAGAACAUAUCCUGUGAACUCAGAUGUAGCCUUGUAACUUAUGUUGGUCAAUGAAAUGCAAGCAGGUAAGACAUGUAUCACUUACGAGCAGGUGGGUUAAGAGCCAGUGAGUGGUGGCUCAUCAUACUUUUCCAGGUUUGUAACAACACCAUCAAUGUUUCUAGAUAGAUCCUCCUCCACGUUCCCAGGUCCCAGGAUGAAAGCCACAUGGACAAGAGCUCAGCUGAACCAUAUGGAUAUAUAGCUUAUGACCCAUAUGGACACAUAAAGGCAAAAAAUAUACCUUUAUCAUAGUAAACUCCUGAGAUGUGUUACCAUAGCAAAACCCAGUCUAUCCUGACUAAGAUGUGUUUCUGGCCUCUCUCCUAUGCCCACUCUUGUGUCAGUUCUUAAUUAGCUAGACCUCAUCCAACUAAGACUAAAAAGAAGCAUCAACUCUCACCUGAAAGUCCUGGGAAACAAAUCAAGAAAACAAUGCACCCAAACUGCUCCCUCAAAAGUUUUACAUUUUGGUUAUUUUCUUCCGACAUUCAGCAUUCCCGAAUGCAGAGUGGCAAGCUGUGGGGAUUGAAAAGGAAGGAUAAAUACUUGGUGAAAAGCAGAAGAGUUGCAUUAAUGCUUGUCCUUUAGGGUGUAGUGUUAUCUUCCCCACACUAAUAUAAGAGCCCUGACAACAGAGUGGGUCCUCAUGGGGUUGCCUGUGUCACCAUUUCCCCUGUGAGCAUCUCUCUCUGUCCAUUGCUCCUUUUGGCCUGACUCAAAGCUCCACGUCAAAUGGUAAUAUUGGGUUUGCAGGAGUGGUGUGGGGAAGUAAAGAAUGGAAUUUACCUUGGGAAGUGCUGAAAGGUCAUAAAGCAGGAAGCCAUUAAAAUUUUGCCAAAAUUCUA